This 979-nucleotide ribosomal RNA is filed under the name human gut metagenome. RNAcentral's name for it is "bacterial LSU rRNA". It matches the Rfam family "Bacterial large subunit ribosomal RNA", at positions 1950 to 2925 of the family's 2925-position model. The record is from RNAcentral.
CCUAAGGUAGCGAAAUUCCUUGUCGGGUAAGUUCCGACCUGCACGAAUGGCGUAACGACUUCCCCACUGUCUCGACCAGGAGCUCGGCGAAAUUGCAGUACGAGUAAAGAUGCUCGUUAAGCGCAGAAGGACGAAAAGACCCCGGGACCUUUACUAUACCUUGGUAUUGGCAUUAGGCGCGGAUUGUGUAGCAUAGGCGGGAGGCCGAGAGGCGCGGUCGCCAGAUCGCGCGGAGCCGUAAGGUGAAAUACCGCUCUGUUCUCGUUUGACGUCUCACCUCGAACAGUCAUCCUGUUCAGGGACAGUGCCUGGCGGGUAGUUUAACUGGGGCGGUUGCCUCCCAAAGAGUAACGGAGGCGCUCAAAGGUCCGCUCGGCCCGGUUGGCAAUCGGGUGUCGAGUGUAAUCGCACAAGCGGGCUUGACUGCGAGAUCGACGGAUCGAGCAGGGACGAAAGUCGGAGAUAGUGAUCCGGUGCCGGCGCACGGGCGCGGCAUCGCUCAACGGAUAAAAGGUACCCCGGGGAUAACAGGCUGAUCAUUCCCAAGAGUCCAUAUCGACGGGAUGGUUUGGCACCUCGAUGUCGGCUCGUCGCAUCCUGGGGCUGGAGCAGGUCCCAAGGGUUCGGCUGUUCGCCGAUUAAAGCGGCACGCGAGCUGGGUUCAGAACGUCGUGAGACAGUUUGGUCUCUAUCCUCUGCGCUCGUUGGAAUCCUGAGGAGGCCUGCCCAUAGUACGAGAGGACCUGGGUGGACGAACCUCUGGUAUGCCGGUUGUCGCGCCAGCGGCACGGCCGGUUGGCUACGUUCGGAAGGGAUAACCGCUGAAAGCAUCUAAGCGGGAAGCCUGCUCCAAGAUAAGCAUUCCGUGGAACCUUCGAGUUCCUGUAGUCCCCAUGCAGAACACGUGGUCGAUAGGCCGGACGUGGAAGCCCCGCGAGGGGUGGAGCCGACCGGUACUAAUGGUCGAGAGGCAACCCAC